GCUGGCGGCAGGCUUAACACAUGCAAGUCGAGCGGGCGUAGCAAUACGUCAGCGGCAGACGGGUGAGUAACGCGUGGGAACGUACCUUUUGGUUCGGAACAACCCAGGGAAACUUGGGCUAAUACCGGAUAAGCCCUUACGGGGAAAGAUUUAUCGCCGAAAGAUCGGCCCGCGUCUGAUUAGCUAGUUGGUGAGGUAACGGCUCACCAAGGCGACGAUCAGUAGCUGGUCUGAGAGGAUGAUCAGCCACAUUGGGACUGAGACACGGCCCAAACUCCUACGGGAGGCAGCAGUGGGGAAUAUUGGACAAUGGGCGCAAGCCUGAUCCAGCCAUGCCGCGUGAGUGAUGAAGGCCCUAGGGUUGUAAAGCUCUUUUGUGCGGGAAGAUAAUGACGGUACCGCAAGAAUAAGCCCCGGCUAACUUCGUGCCAGCAGCCGCGGUAAUACGAAGGGGGCCUAGCGUUGCUCGGAAUCACUGGGCGUAAAGGGUGCGUAGGCGGGUCUUUAAGUCAGGGGUGAAAUCCUGGAGCUCAACUCCAGAACUGCCCUUGAUACUGAGGAUCUUGAGUUCGGGAGA
This 577-nucleotide ribosomal RNA is filed under the name uncultured soil bacterium. Its description in RNAcentral is "bacterial SSU rRNA". It matches the Rfam family "Bacterial small subunit ribosomal RNA", at positions 35 to 655 of the family's 1533-position model. The record is from RNAcentral.